AGAAACAGAAUCUAAGAUACGAUGGCCGACACUUUUUCCCAAAUAGAUUUAAUCAGUUACAUGGGAAUACAAAAAAUGACUGACGACACACCGAUAUUAGUGAUCAGGGGAACUGACUCUAACAGUGUCUCUUACAUGUUACUUGUGUUUUCUGUAUCUUAAAGAUAAUGUAGGCAUUGUUCCUAAGUCAUGCAGAGGGGUUGUGUAAGCAUGGUCAUUUGCAUCAUUAUCCUGCACGUCUGAUACAGCCAAACUCCACGCCACCUGGUUUGCUGUAAGUAUUGGAUUCAUUUAAGAUCCAUAACAAUGCUAUUUACUGACCCUCUUGUCAACUGAUGCUGUGACACUGCUGUAAAAUGAUCCCUAUGUCACCAGAUGCUGCCCUGAAACUUAGGAAGUUAGCAUGAAGGUAAUACUUCAUUAGAAGUUUGCAAUUUAUGGGUGAAUUAAUAAUGCAAGAGAAAAGGAAUAGAACAGACAUAGAGAGAAGACCUUUGAGGUUUACAUCAAACCCCAUCAAAAGAGAUUUAAAAAAAAAAAAACCUUACCCUGCAGGGGUUCAUUGAAUCUCAUCAUUAAUAAAAUAGGGUCUAUCAGCAAGAUGUUUUUAACAAAAUCUGCUGACAGGGAAAACAUAAGAAAACUGGCCCCUACAAUGUAUGACAUUUCAAGGGCUCAAGAGUGUUCUAAAGAAAACCAAAUUGUUCAUGUGUAAUGAACUGGACAGAAGCUAAAAGGUGACCUGUGUCUUUUAAACAGCAACAGCAAAAGACACGGCCGGGUGCGGUGGCUCACCCCUUUAAUCCCAGCACUUUGGAAGGCCGAGGCGGGCGGAUCAUUUGAGCAAUAUCUUUUGCUUGGGAGCAGAAACAGAAAGUACAUGAUGGACUUCAUUGAAGGAUGGAGAUUUGGAAGACAUGAAUGGAUGAAGAACCAAGUGCGUGAGGGCACCUAUCAGGAUUAUUGCUGAAAUCCUUAUGGAGUUAACUGGCUGAGAGGAAGGCAAGCAAGCGAGGACUGAUGGGCCCUUGGCACUGUGAGAACAGUGGAGGAGGAGGGAGCAGGGUUCAUAAGGAGGAGCACAAACAGAAAGUUCAGUGGCCCCAAUAAAAAUAACACCAGAAUCUU
RNAcentral lists this long non-coding RNA (1128 nucleotides) under Homo sapiens (human). RNAcentral's name for it is "HSALNT0307485". The record is from RNAcentral. Lineage: Eukaryota; Metazoa; Chordata; Mammalia; Primates; Hominidae.